RNAcentral lists this unclassified non-coding RNA (238 nucleotides) under soil metagenome. RNAcentral describes it as "partial internal transcribed spacer 1". The record is from RNAcentral.
ACAUCUCUUGAAUUGGUGGUGGUGUGGUGUUUCGGCACUCAUCAUCCUCAACCCCAUUGUGUGCAUGUAUGUGUUGUGUUGUGAGUUGGGUAAAGAGGAGAAGAGAGAGCUUCGGCUUAGCCUUCACCUCACCUCACCUUUCACUUUUAACCCCAAACCCCUUCUUCUCAUCACACUAGACUGACUUUCAAUCCUCGUUUUCGCUCCCUACCAACGGAGCAAAACAUCAAUCAGCAUA